Stegodyphus mimosarum is the source of this 74-nucleotide non-coding RNA. The record is from Rfam. NCBI's taxonomy places the organism in Eukaryota, Metazoa, Arthropoda, Arachnida, Araneae, Eresidae.
GCCUUCGUGGUGUAGUAUGUCAGCACGUUCGACGCGUAACCGAGAAGUCCGUGGUUCGAUUCCCGGCGAAGGCG